Molecule: ribosomal RNA, 301 nt
Filed under: uncultured bacterium
Lineage: Bacteria
Description: partial 16S ribosomal RNA
Rfam family: Bacterial small subunit ribosomal RNA
Source: RNAcentral
CAGUAGCCACGGUAAUACGUAGGGUGCGAGCGUUAAUCGGAAUUACUGGGCGUAAAGCGUGCGCAGGCGGUUCGUUAAGACAGAUGUGAAAUCCCCGGGCUUAACCUGGGAACUGCAUUUGUGACUGGCGAGCUAGAGUAUGGCAGAGGGGGGUAGAAUUCCACGUGUGGCAGUGAAAUGCGUAGAGAUGUGGAGGAAUACCGAUGGCGAAGGCAGCCCCCUGGGCCAAUACUGACGCUCAUGCACGAAAGCGUGGGGAGCAAACAGGAUUAGAUACCCCUGUAGUCCCUGUCUCUUAUAC